This 106-nucleotide small RNA is filed under the name Salmonella enterica. Its description in RNAcentral is "partial RtT sRNA". It matches the Rfam family "RtT RNA", at positions 1 to 105 of the family's 130-position model. From Rfam's summary of the family: This family represents a bacterial cis-regulatory element known as RtT RNA. The exact function of RtT is unknown although it is thought that it may be involved in changing the cellular response in relation to amino acid starvation. The record is from RNAcentral. RNAcentral also lists the same sequence under 2 other names. Lineage: Bacteria; Pseudomonadati; Pseudomonadota; Gammaproteobacteria; Enterobacterales; Enterobacteriaceae.
AUAUCUCUCCGUACGGGAAGGAUGAGAAGCUUCGAUUAAGGUUCGAUUCGAGCGCAGCGAGAAAGCGUUGCCGCAGGCAACGACCCGAAGGGCGAAGCGCGCAGCG